GACGAACGCUGGCGGCGUGCCUAAUACAUGCAAGUCGAGCGGACGGAUGGGAGCUUGCUCCCAGACCGUCAGCGGCGGACGGGUGAGUAACACGUGGGCAACCUUCCUGUAAGACUGGGAUAACUCCGGGAAACCGGGGCUAAUACCGGAUAACUCCUUCCCUCACAUGAGGGAAAGCUGAAAGAUGGCAUCUCGCUAUCACUUACAGAUGGGCCCGCGGCGCAUUAGCUAGUUGGUGAGGUAACGGCUCACCAAGGCGACGAUGCGUAGCCGACCUGAGAGGGUGAUCGGCCACACUGGGACUGAGACACGGCCCAGACUCCUACGGGAGGCAGCAGUAGGGAAUCUUCCGCAAUGGACGAAAGUCUGACGGAGCAACGCCGCGUGAGUGAUGAAGGUUUUCGGAUCGUAAAACUCUGUUGUCAGGGAAGAACAAGUACCGGAGUAACUGCCGGUACCUUGACGGUACCUGAUCAGAAAGCCACGGCUAACUACGUG
Molecule: ribosomal RNA, 498 nt
Filed under: uncultured bacterium
Lineage: Bacteria
Description: partial 16S ribosomal RNA
Rfam family: Bacterial small subunit ribosomal RNA
Source: RNAcentral